UGCCAAGAAAAAUGUCCUCAGAACUACACAAAAUAUUAUCUGAUAUUACAAAAAUUGUAAUAUUGUUGGACACAAACCACCUAAUUCACGAUUAUUUGAGGCAUAUUCUGAAGAAAUAGGUUCCCAGUAUUCACACCUUCUUCACGCUGAAGUGAGAUGACUUUCGAGGGAAAAAAUAAUAACCCAAUUGUUCGCUCUGCGUGAAAAGAUUAAAUUAGUUUUCCAUCAGCAAAAUAAUUCGAAAUCAAAUAUACGAUGGAGAAAGACAAGAGAUUUCAGCAAUUGUUCAACAACAUAAUUUACAAUCACUCACAGAAUCUUUCGAUCGUUAUUUCCCCCCCUCUCCCAAAAAAAGGUGCUAGACAUGGGAAUAUGUGAAUAAUAUAUCCAUUUGCAGCAAACAUCUAAAAUAACAAUUAAAAUAUGAACGAAAAAGAAACCCUAACUAAUUUAUCAUCCGAUCGCACUCUCAAAGCAAAAUCCAAAUUAUUCUUAUCAAAGUCUAAUUUUUGGCUCUACGUUAAAAAAGAAAACCCAUUGCUGAGUGACAAAGAAAUGCAAAUUUUAAUUCAAUUUUCAACAACUUAUUUAUACAAAAACCAUUUUCAUCUAUUAUAGUUAUUAAAACUUGGUACCGGUAUUGGCUUGAAAUAAAUAGAGUUCUAUGUCUUUCAAUAACUUGAUUGGAGCUAAAACUACACACAAUUAUUAAAAACAAGCAGGAACAAAUAUCAAAUUAAGAUUAAAAAUGUAUUAUAGUUUUCUGUUCUGUAUCUAAAUAAAGCUUAAAUUGUUUU
Molecule: non-coding RNA, 797 nt
Organism: Cinara cedri
Lineage: Eukaryota; Metazoa; Arthropoda; Insecta; Hemiptera; Aphididae
Source: the annotation of a GenBank genome assembly